UAUGCAUAGACUGGCCAAGAAAAAGAUUAAGAUUAAUAAGUUUGUUUUAUAAAGAAGAUACACAUAAUACACAGAGAAAUCACCAGAAGAGAAAUACACCAAUCACAAAAAUAAAAUUUUCAAAAGGAUAACAUAAACAUUAGCUCAGCCACGCUUCACAGGAUCAAAAUUGGAAACACCAAUCACAGCUCCCAAAAUGGCAACAAGCACGGCACCACCAGCCCCAAUGCUGAGCAAGAAGUUAUUCAGCGACGGAGUAACACUAGACGCCGCCUCUGCUACAUCAGGAACCACCAUCGACGCCGUUAGAGCUGCGGCGGUCAAAGCCGUCACUGCCUUCUCCUUCAAAGAGCUCUGAACCACCAAUCGUUUGGAUGGUGCAGCCACUAUCUUAGACGAAGAAACCUUGAGUGUCAAUGGGUUAAAGAAGGAGUUCGAUGGUGGGAGCGCAGUCUUGUGGGUCAAUGGCAUAGCCAUGGAAACUGCAGAUGUGGAGGCCAUUGAUGCUUCUUCUUUUUUUGCUUCUGUGUGUCGAUCGAUGAAAAAAGAAUGAUGGGUGAGUUAAAGGAAGGUUGAGAGGUGAGAAAUGGAGAUGAAGGGUAUUUGUGAUCUCCAUAUCUUGGAGUCCGAUGUGGCUGCUUUUCCACUUGGUUUUGGUGGAUAACCUUAUCCUUCCAUCCAUCCAUGCAACCUCAUUAUUUUUAAAUCAAAAUUCAAUUAAUUUGUAAAAUCAAUGUCUAUGUGCAUUGUGAUUUUGUAUAGGUUUUCAUUUUAGUAACAAUAAAGGUGUAAUUUUGGUUUUUACUUAAAACUAGGUUUUUGCAUAUCGCGAUGCAUUGACGACAAUUUGUUUGGUAAGGUGAAUUUUGAGAAUUUUAUUGAUAAAAGUUAAGUAUAUUUAUAUGUGAUCGAACUCAUACGUAGGAAACAUAUAUAAAAAUAAACAUAAAAAUGUAAACAAAAUUUUCAUCGAAAUACAAAGAAGCUCGAAUUUAUACCAAUACCUACAUAAAAUUAAGUAAUCAAUAUUAUUAUUUUUUAAGUUAACGAACAAAAAUUCAAAUAAUCACAAUUGUAUUAUAUGUGACCCGAAUCAUANNNNNNNNNNNNNNAUAUAUCGAAUUGUAGACCAACUCAAAUUUAUACCGACACACAUGGUUGUUAUGUAACAUUCUGUUUCGGAUCGUUCUGUGAUUUAAGGCUCGUGAGCCGUAAUUUGGGUAUGAGAAGGUUUUUAGGCUUUAAGAAGAAAGGUUUAGACCUUUUUGGAUGUGGGUAAGGUAGGUUGUGUGAUUAAAGAGUUCGGUUUGUGCUCUAGAGCCCAAUGGUAUCGGUAAAGGCGUUAGUUCGGGCCUUUCAUGAAUUUUGGAUCUGAGCUCGAGUGGGUUUUAGGAAAAAUAAAGUUGAUAGAAGUGUAGGGAUUCUCUUUACCUUUUCGUGGAUAUAAGGAUCAUCGGAAACGGACUUAUAACGAAGAAGUUAUGACAUUCGGAAGUUUGGUGGUUUCAGGGUUCAGCCGAGUACGCAGGGCGUACACAAAGGGUACGUGGGGUAUACUAGUGAAGUGAGCGGUAUGCGCGUACCUUGGCAUACGCUGGGCGUACUAACCAGGAUGGUCACGGGUGCUCUUAGGAGUACGUUGGGCGUACCAUAUGUACGUUAUGCGUACUCCAAUUAGAUUCAAACCCUAUUUUAGGGUCGUGGACCCUAUUUAAGCUCCUUAUCUCAUAAUCUAACCCUAAUAUAUUCAGCCUCCGUCCCUGUAAACCCUAGAAAUCGACCCUUAGCCUCCAUUUGAGUGAUUCUUGAGCUUUUUAGUGAUUUAGUGGGUUUUUUGUGUUUAUUGUGGAAGAAGGAGCUUCUUGAGGAAGCAUUGAUUGGCUUAUAUCUUGUAGAUCCAAGCCCUAUUCAUAUUGAUCUAGCUCCAGACAGUAUAAAGUUUGAAUCUUGGUAGCUUUCUCAUGUGGAUCUAGUUGGGUUAUGACUUGUUAUGUUUGGCCCUUGAAGAAGACGGAUCUUGGUGAUCAAACUAUUGUUGGAGUAAAGCUUCUAGAUCCAGAUCUUUCAUCAACUUUGCAAGCUACUAGAGGUAUAAAGUCUCUAUCUUGGUGAAUCAUGUGUUUGAUCUAGCUAGUUUUGGGUUUUAUGUACUUUUUGUCCCAAAGCUUUGGUCUUUAUGAGUAUGGGCUACUCUAGACCAUUUGAGUUGUCCUUUCUGAGGUUUUUGAGUGUUCUAAGUCAUAAAAAUGUGAUAUUAGUCCAUUCCUUCAGUUUGGGUUUUUGAGUUAAAAGUUAGGGUUUGGGUUUGAGCACAUUUAGCCAUGACAAGGCAUAAAUUUGGGAACUUUAUGUUGUAAAAUGCCUUCUUGGACGAGAUCUAAGUGUUGGGUGAAAAUACUUAACGAGUUAAGUACUUAAUGUGAGUUAUUGGCCUAUUUAUGGAGUUAGAGUGCUUGAAAUCAUGUUUGGGCCCCUUUGAGUCAUGCUAAGGCUUAAAGCCUUCGACUUUAUGGAUUAAUUCAUUAUUAUGGGAUUAUUCUGACGGAAUAAGUCAUUAGAACAAGAAUUGGAAUUUCAUCGGGAAUGCCACACGUAAUUACUGGGAAGGCAGUGUGUUCCAUCCUGAGUCCCCGUCAAGUGAUCCAGCGGCGAACGUCGUGCGUUCUGCCCAUGAACGCCAUGCGUUCGUCUGAUCAUUGGAGUUGUGGGCUUGGACUUGUUUUGAGGUUGGGAUUUGCCGUUUUGGGCCUUGUUGGGUUGCCCUAUUGGGUCUAAGGAGUUAUUAAGUUGGGCCUUAUUAGGUCUAGUAUGGGUUUGGUCCUUAGAGGGCAUGUUCAUAUUGGGCCUUGUGCUUUGGGUAUAACCCUGAAUGUUAUCUGAGAAUGAUCUUUUUUGGCUCGGUGUGUGGAGUCGUUGUGCAGCGGACACGAUGGUAGGAUUUGUUAUCCAUCGACCAAGGUGAUUAUUCUCACUAUACUUACAUGUGUGGUAAUUUAUAUGUGACCGGAGGGUCUUGUUUGUGUUAUUGACCAUAGGGACUCAUUCGUAUUAUUGACCGGAUGGUCUUAUUGGUUUAUAUUGAAAUUCAAUCUUGACAACCUGUGCAUUAAAAAAAAACAAUUUUUUUUAAUUAACGAACGAAAGUUGUAAAUUAGCAUCAAAACAUUAACCAUUUUGAAUUUAUAUCGACACAUACAUUAAAACAUUAGUUUUUUUUUUAAGUUUACGAAUGUAACUUACUAAGGAAAACCAAAUUAAAUAUAUAUUACGGGGGGAUAAAUACGAAAGUUUAGAAAAUAGAUGGGAUGAAAGUGACAUUUUAUAAAAUUCAAAGUGGAUGUGGUGAAAGUGACUUUUUAAAAAGAAAAGGGAUGGAAAUAUCAUUUUAGAAAGUAUUUUAAAAAGUAUAUGGUGAAAAAUGUCCCUUUAGGGAUAUAAAAAUGUUAUUUUACAAAGUAUUUUAACAAGCGGGAAAGAUAAUUCGUUUUGUAAUUUAAAUUUUAAUGAUUGUAUUUAUAAAUAGGUAUGCAUCGUUACAUUUGACAGUUGUUAGAAAGCUGAAAAUAGCAAAAGAAAAAAAUAUAGGUUAUAUGGAAAAAAAAACAAACAAAGUUAAAGAACUGCAAAUAACAAAAGAAACCAUAGAGGUAAAUAUUGAAAUAUAAAAGUUUGGGAUUGAAAAAAUAUUCUAAAUAACGCAUGAUUUGCCGAUAAUGUCAAGUCUCUAUCUUUUUUGAGUCGUGGCCAGCCACGUUCUUUAUAAGGCGUGACUAAAAUCGACAAUUUUNAUAUAUAUAUAUAUAUAUAUAUAUAUAUAUAUAUAUAUAUAUAUAUAUAUAUAUAUAUAUACAUUAUUCAUUUUUAUACACAUAUAUGACUUAAGACAAUAUUUUGUGAAAUUUUGGUGACAAGUACAAGUUUUGGAAUCAUGGUAUAUUAUGACUAACUUUUUAGAACUUUGGUUUGUAAUAACAAGGCAAAUUAGUUUUUAUUUUUUAUUAUCUUUAACCAUUCAAUAUCAUUAUUUUGUUACUAUUUUUUUAUCAUUGAAAAUUCUUCUAACAAAAUAUUUAUCAAUAUUACAUGAUACAUAUAAUCUUAUAUUCUUCAUAACAUUUUUUUUCUAAUAAUCAACGUUAUUAAAUAUACAAAAUGAAAAUCAAAUGCCAAAUAUUAAAAAUACAUAGAUGUUAUUAUAUUGUUUUUAACAUUUUUUAUUUUUAUAACUAUAUUAUUGAUAAAAAUAUCACAGAUAUCAAAUAUGGCACAUAUGAUAUAUGCUUAGAGAAUGAGCUUCUUUACCCUCUUUUUUUUUUUAUAUUUAUAAGUAGUCUAUACCUAUUAAAUUUAAUAUAUAUUUGGUUUAAAAAUAUAAAAUUUGGGUCCCUCGUUUUUUAAUUUUUAUACAUAUUAUACUUUCACACCCAGAAUCAAAAGUUCAAGCUCCGCGCACGGCAGGAAAAUUACAAUUUGUGAUAAUUAGUUUAUAAAAUAUUUCAAAUAGAUAAGGAUAAACGUUUGAAUAUAUAUAUAUAUAUAUAUUUGUAAUUUUUUUUUUUGAUAAAUGCUUUAAAGAAGAUUAACAUAGUUUUCUAUUGCUGCCAUAGAAAAGGUAAUCUCUAAAAAGAAGAUUAUUGUAUAUUAUCUUUAACCAAUCAAAAUAACUAAAAAGAAAUAUAGAAAACGUUUGUAGCAAUUAAUCCAGAUCUAAAUUUGGUUUCACAUAUGCUAAAACAUUGUAUAUGUUUUGUCGAGCUUUUAAAUUUGAUAUGUUUUCCAACACCCACCUUUUUCAAUUUUCCAAUUCUGGUUUUGAUUAUGCUAGAACAAAUUUAAAUCCAUUAUUAUAUAUACUUGUUAUAACUUAAUUAUUUUUUAACAUCAAACAAAUUCGUCUAAACAUAAGCCUAUUUGGUAUGGACAACAUGAUAAGACAUGUUAUUAUACCCAAAAUUUGUCAACUCACAUGCCAUGUCAUCUUUAACACCAUUUGAUUUAUAUAGGAAAUGGUAUGCAAAUGUUAUAGUAAUAUAUUAAGAGAGAGAGAGAGAGAGAGAGAGAGAGAGAGAAUGGUUUUUGAUUGGUUAAUUCUCACGUUAUUUCUCGUGGACAUGAUAACAUUUCUUAACAUAACACCAAAUAACAUGAGAGGGGCGGUGUACAAGGCACUAUAACGCCAUUUUUUAUUGUUACAUCCGAAAAAUGCAAAAGCCCGUUGCCCGCUCAUAGUAGUCUAAAUUUUAGAAAAAAGCUACACGGAAGUAAAGAUGACAAAAAAAUAUGUACCCGAUAGGAACCCGAACCCAAGUUGGCCGGGUAAAUCCCUAANNNNNNNNNNNNNNNNNNNNNNNNNNNNNNNNNNNNNNNNNNNNNNNNNNNNNNNNNNNNNNNNNNNNNNNNNNNNNNNNNNNNNNNNNNNNNNNNNNNNNNNNNNNNNNNNNNNNNNNNNNNCAAUUUUAAAUAAAUAAUGAUGGAUACUUAAACAUUUAGAUUAUAAAACUGGCAAUUUUUUAAAAUAAAACGUGAAUGGAUCGAUUUCGAUUGUGACAAGUUAACUUGUAAAAUAAAAAAAUUAUCUAAAAGGAAAUAAGUCAAAAAUGUUGAUUGUUAAAGAUAUUGUAUUUUAUAUUCACUACAACUAAUAUAUGAUUAGUAUGUGAAAUAUCUAAAUGUGUAAGAAGAAUAAAGUUAUUUCACUUUUCACGUUUAUUAUUUACGUAGAAAUAGAAAUAAUUGAGCUUUGUAAUUUGAAAGUAAAUAAAACUUUCUACUUUUUAAUGUCUAGAAACAAUAGAGAAAAAAUCAUGCUUAAAGAAAUAUAAUAAAAGUAGUAAUAUAUGGAGAUCGGGCGAAAAAAAUUCAUACUUCAAAGCAACGAUCUAUUUAUCUAUUACAAUAAAGAUCAUAUAUUUCAACUUAUUCAUUUUAAAGUCUAAAACUUUUCAAUCAUAUAUUGUGUGCAUGAAUGCACCAAUAUAAAUUUAGGAAAAAAUAAAUCAUUAAUAAUAAAUCUAAGGGUAUAAUAGUAAUCUAUACUAUAAUUAAUUAUGGUAAAUUGAUAAAAUUAAAUAAUAUCCCCUUUUAAAUUAGGAUAUCAGUUUUAAAACCUCACCCCCACCAGAUUAGGGUUUUACGCUCCCUCUUCAUCUCAUACAGUACCCACACACAGAUAGAGACCCAAUAGAUCUACUCUUCUUCUUCAAUAGAGACCCGGUAGAAGUACUCCACACGCAUAACAGGUGAUGAUCCACUUUCCGUCUUAGGCCUCCACACACAAAAAGUUCCAGAAGGUAGAGCUUCCAAUUCGUCGGCUUCUGAUGAUGAACAUGAAGAAGAUUCUUCUAGUUCAUCAAUGAACAGCUUCCAUAAUGAACUGGUGAUAGAAUCAGAAGCAUGAAUCUCAUUAUCCUUUGAUUUGACUUCAUCCUUGAUGAGAAGAUCGCGAUUGAAAAGAGGAAAAACAGUCCAACCUCGCGAAUCGAUCCCUUUUGUUGAAACCCCUUCUUCAAUUAAAUCCAACGAGAAUCUAAAAUCGUCUUCAUCAAAAUCCCCAAAUUCGUGAAAUCGACCGGCCUGUUCUUUACAUAUGACUUUGGCGAUAGCCAUGGAUGUGUUCUUCGAUCUAUGAGAGAUUCUGGAAUCGGCUUCCAGGUAUGCACUCUAUUAUCUUUUUUAUUGUAAAUUUAGUCACAUUCAUGUAUUUAUUAAUUACAUAUGUUGUAUGUUUAAUCAAAUGGAGUAUAAAGAUUUGUGCAUCUGAUUUUUCCCGCCAAAUGUUUGUUAAAAUGCUUGAAUCAAAUAUUUUAGCCAAUUUUUUUUUAAUAUUUGAACUAUCACAUGUCUCUCAUACUAGCUUGUAAUGAUAUGAAAUUUGUUUCUACAUAUUCUCCUUUGUGUUAGAUACAAGUUAGGUUCAGAAGUCAUUUAAAUUUGAUUAAUAUUGGUUGAGUUAUAGUCCUUCGAACAUACGAUGUUACAGCUGUAUUUUUAGCACUCUUUGUUCAGAAACAUUUGUGAUCUUUGAACUGUCAUAUUUACCACAUUCUAGCUUGUAAUAAGCUAACAUUUUUCCAAAGUAUUGUCCUCUGUGUUAGCUACAACAUAGUCAUUGUAAUUAGAUUAAGUCGAUAAUUUGGACCAGGUGACUCGGGGAAUACUUGAUCAAGUGACUCGAGUACAUUCUGUUAGAAUAAAUUAAAAGUGUUUAAUGUCUAACACAUUAUGUUAGAAUUAUAGUUUUAUUCUGUUAGAAUAUACUAAAAGUUAUACUAUUUCAAAAUUGAUUAUGUUUUUUUUUUGGAUUUAAGUUUUGAAGGGGCUGCCAUUGAAGUGGAAAAUGAAGAAAACAUGGAGAACGUGAGUAUUCUAGCAUAAUGUUGUUAUUUUUUAAAAAUGUUAUUCAUUUUUGUUGAUGUUCUUUUAAAAUAUUUUAUAACUAUAUUAAAAUGUAUAAGACUUUUAGUUUGUAAGAAUAUGUAUGAAUUUGUAUUUAAGUUCGGAUGUAUAAGAAUAUAUUAAAAUGUUUGUUAUUUUUGAACAUCUCAUUUAAGAAUUUUGUUUUUAUUCAAUAAUAUUCUAUUAUAAUAAAAUCCUGAAAGAGUAUCAUUCUAACAAAAAAUAUUCUGAUAGAAUAAAAUCGGUAAAAAUUGAAAUUGAAUUAAUUAAAAAAUUCAGAUUUUUUUAAAUUAGGAGAAUUAAUCAUCCCUAAAAAUCCAAAAAUUACCUUUUAUAAAUGUAGUUAAUUGUCCAAAAUACCAUUUUGCUAAAAAUUGUGUGAUUAUAUGGUACAUGUUACCCAUUAUAAUAUCAUACACUCUCAAAUCAUAUCCAUUGAUUAAUUUCAUUCGUUGGUCCAAAUCUGUCCCGAAAAAAAUUUCUCUAAAAAUGAUAAAAAUUUAAGUAAUACUUUUACCCACUGUUCUAAUGACUUUGUAAAAAAAAUUAAAAAUAAGGUGUUUUAGAUACCAAAUUUGAUUUUAAAAGAUUAAAAGUGUAAAAGAAAAAUGUUGAACAUAAUUGAUCCAAAUAUAGGUGAUUCAAAAAUAUUAUGAUCUCUAACUUAUUAUGAUCUAAAAAUAUUUUGAUUCAAAUAUUUUAUGAUCAUAAAUUAUUAUAUCUUUUAUGAUUCAAAAUUAAAUGAUUCAAAAAAUAUAAUGAUGCAAAUAUUGCAUUGAACAAAAACUAUAUAUAAUUCAAUAUAUUAUGAUCCAAAAUCAUAUAAUUCACAAAUAUUAUGAUCCAAAUUACUAUGAUUCAAAAUGAUAUGUGUCACACNUAUAUAUAUAUAUAUAUAUAUAAAGAACAUUGCACAAAUUUAUAUCACAAACGAUACUUUUAUUUAUUAUAAUUUAUUUUAGAUUACAUUAUUUAAAAAGGUCAAACGUACAUCUUAAAACAUAACUAGAAAUGACAAACAGACGAAACUAAACUCCAACAAGCUUCCUCAAAAACCUCCUCCUCGACACGAUUAUCUUCCACAUUCAUCUCCUUAAGAAUACAUGUAUUUUUUAAAAAUUCAACAUAAUGUUGAUGAUUGCACAGGUUUUUAUAGUUCUCAACUUUUAUUUAGUUGUAUUAAUUUAAAAAUCCUUCUUUUUAGAAAAAGCUUUGUUAAAAAUAUUUUAUCAACCCUAACUUACUAUCAUUUCAGGAUAUCUAAAAAUCUUAUCUUAUUAUCUUUUAAGAUAUUAUAUUAAUCCUAAUUUACUAUCUUUGUAAGUUAACUAAUUCUAACGUAUUUUAUCUAUCACUCUAAGGCGUUCCUAAUAGUAGUUGGAUCUCUAAGGUGGUUGUAAUGUAACGUUCGCAAAUUCGGGCUAGUCAAUUUAGAGACAAUAAACAUCAAAAUGACAUUUUAUGGAAGAUUAUUUAGAAUGAAUAAUAUUAACCAACAUUGGAAUCUGAGUUACAACGAAGAAGUUAUGGGUCGUCGAAGUUUUACGGCUAAACCGGCACGGAACCGCGUAACGUAAAAAGUGAAUUUUUGAUAAAUUACUUUUUAGCCUUAUGGUUCUAAACAAAAGUAGUAGUAUACGUUAAACUGAGAGCGUGCAUAAAAAGAAUGUCCAAAUCUGACUUCGUAUGAGGAAGUUAUGAUUUUUCUAAGAUUUGGCAAAACAGUAUGCAGCUCAGAAUUCGAAUAUUAGAUCGACCGAUUUUUAGCCGACACAACCUAAAUGAGAACCAAAGAUCUUGUUAAUAGGAGCUCAACAAUAAAAAGACGGACGAAAACGGAUGUUGAAUGACAAAAUUAUGAAUUUUUAACGAACUUUACCUGUCCCGGCCUGUUAAAAAUAUAACUUUAAAAAUAAAUUCAAAAAUAGCCAAAGGAGUCUAAACGAAAGUUCUAAAGUACGUCUCCACCUACAUGUUGAUAUAAAGAACGUCAAAACGGAGCUCGUAUGCGAAACUUAUAGAAUUUAGAAAUUUAACAUGGUGGUUGCGAGGGUACAGUGUACGCCCCGCGUACAUAACCUGUACGCCCCGCAGUCUCGCAACUCAUGGAUCUGGAUCAAAAUGUCGCCCCACCUGAAGCUCGCCACUCGUCCCUUCUUACGCAUAGCGUCACUUCAUACGCAAGGCGUAGUGAGUACGCCCAGCGUAAUGCGCAACUAAGGCCUAUAAAAGGGAUACGAGGGUCUCCAUUGUUUUCCACACCAAAGCCAUUUCUUUCUCUCUCUAACUUCUCUCUAAGCCCUCCCAACCCCUAGUAACUUCUAAGUGCUAAAGGAAAGCCUCCGGGGUGCCAGAAGGCUCCGAGAAAAAGAGUUUUUCGGCUCGAAAGGUUCUGCCCCCGCAUAGUCUGGUUUCUAGCAAACCUUCCGGUAAGUGAUUUAUGCUUACCAUACUUUAAGUAUAGCUUAGGUUUAAAUUUAUUAUCGUUAUUAUGAACUUAUAAAAAAUACACACACACACACACACUCACACACACACACACACACAUAUAUAUAUAUAUAUAUAUANAAGUGUUAUGAUAAUAUCUUUUAACUACUCGCGGUACGGGGAAUCUGGUUUGAAGGGCCGCAUAGGGUUGUUGGAUUUCAGAAGUACUAUAAUGCCAAAAUGGUCCUGCCCUCCGGUGUUUCAUGACUGGCCCCUGUUUGUACAUAGUGGUUGAAAAGUAUUGUUUAACACUUAUAAAACAAUGUCGCUCGUAAAUAGUCUCUAUACAUCUUAGACUAAAAUAUAGUGGUAAUAAUACUAGGUUUCGUUGAAGGAAACGAUUGUUAGAAGCGAAGUGUUUUCCGAAUUUCGAGUCAUCACUUUAACAAGUGAGUGCAUAGUUAUUUUCAUCUUACACAUAGAUAUGAAGUAUUUAAUAUAAAUUACGUGUUAUGUGUGCAUAUUAUAUGUGUUCUUGAUAUCUAUGUUGGAUGAACGAUUUAUAUAUGUUUUAAAUGAUUUAAAUUGUAUAUGUAUUUUAUAUCUACGAAUAUGUUGGGUAAAACAUGGGUAGAUGAAUAACAAGGGAUGAAAGCUAAUAUAGAUGAACAUUGGCAGCUAUGGACUUAGUGCCCUAUGGAUGAACAUUGGCAGCUAGGGACUUAGUGCCCUAUAGGUGAACAUUGGCAGGUGCGCCACAACCUGUAGAUGUUUUUAAACUAUGAUGUACUCUAAACAUCGUAGCAGCUGCACCUAUAGGAUAGUAUUGGCAGUUACGACUAAUAGAGAACAUCAUAAUCCUGACAGUUGUGCUUACAUGAUAAUAUUGGAAAUUGUGCCUAAUAGAUAACAUUGGCAAUGAUGGAUUGCAUGUCUAUUCCUUAGGAAAAUCCUUAGGAAUGAAUGAGUAAAUGAUAGAUUAUUCUUAGGGUAAAUCCUUAAGAAAUAAAGAAGAUAAUGGGGAUGGGUAAUUGGGUGAAUUGUUUGAUGAUGAAACGUAACAACUUUAUUAUUAUGGGUUCAAAACCCUAUGUACUCACCAGCUUUCCCAACCUAACCCACUCGGUUUAUUUGUAUAAUAGGUGUCGAUACAAAGCUACAAUACACUAAGAGAUAAAAGGAGUCGUAAAUCACUAGUGUAAAUGAAUGUAAGGUCUGUGUAUGCUUAUGUUUCUGUAUUGACGAUGACAUCCCAAAGUUUUAAUAUAAACAAAAUACAUUUAUUCGGAAAUGCUUUGAUAAUAUAUUUAUCAUGUUCUCUGAGAACAAAUUCCGCAAUAUUAUUCUUAGAAAUGAAUACUCUAAUUUUCAAAUAACAAUAAAUAAAAUUUUUAAAAUGACUGUGAAUUUGGGGAUAUCACAUGUAAUGUAUUACCAUGAGCCCCCAUAAUCGACGUUGUUUGACUAAUGAUUACUCCGCUACGACGCUUCAUCAGACGUCGAAUAAUGAUUAAUAAGAAAGAUAUCCUAUCGGGAUUGUAGCUAGCAAUCGUAGGUCGGAGUGUCAAUCCCCGUAGGUCGGAGUGUCAAUCCCCGUAUAAAUCUAUACAUAUCUUUCUAGCUCUCGCAAAAUUAACGAUUACAGGUAUCAGGUAGCCGACUGUAAUCAGGCUAAGGAUGAAUAUUAACAACUCACUAAUGCAUUAACCUUAUGUAUUUAUCUUUUAUCGUUUAUCUAUUAUCUUUCUUAGGGAUUUCCUAUAAAUAUCAUAGUAUAAGCCCCUUUAAUUUUAUAUUUGAUGAUUAUAUCUUUUAGAUCUCAUAAUUAUUUUGUGUAUAUAUAUAUAUAUAUAUAUAUAUAUAUAUAUAUUUGUGAUACAUUUAUAGAAACUNAUAAACCCUAAUUAUAGUUAUUUGAAAACAUGAUAUUUGGGCAGAGUAACAAUUAGCUACAGUGCAUAUCCAUAUAUUUGACCAACAUAACUUCUAGAUACUAUGUUAUCCUAGGGAUUUGGCCAUUAUAACAUCUAGGUAUUAAUAUCAUAGCUUACAACUAUACAUAGUAUCUAUAGGUACAUUAUCCUAAGGUUUCUAGCUUUAUAAAACGAUUGAUAUUUAUGGAUAUAAAUAUAUUUUGAUAAAACAAUUUCAUAAGCAUGUAUCCGCCCCCCAAAAAAAAUUAAAAUAGUGCAAUAGGGGUCAUGAACUUACCGUAGUCACGUAAGACUAUUGAUGUAGGGUUAAAUCAGGCUCGACUCCGGGGACCGCUCUAAGGGCAGCAACUUCGAUAUUUUCAGAGUGAAUGAUGAUUGAAGUUGUGAAGAAGUGAUCUACAUAGCCUUCUAUUUAUAGUCAUGAAUUUGGGGUGCGUGCGCCGCAAAUAUUUGUGCGCGUCACGCGUGAUCAUCAUGGCUCCAUCCAGAGAAAGCCACGUGGCACAUCCCAAAUUGGCCAUGUUACUCGCAAUCCGAUCGAAUCCAAUGUCUGGCGCGCGAUGGACAUAGAAUCACACCUCACACGCACGAAAAGAUUUUUCAAAAAUCAUAACUUCUUCUUGCGAGCUCCGAUCUAAGCCAUCUCUAUAUCUAUGUGAUGAUCUCAACGGGUACUACAACUCUCCUUUAGGUUAUUUUGGCUAGUUUUGACUUUCAUUUUUGUAAGUCCCUAAUCUGCCUGUGUAUCAAUCAGAUCCGUUUGAUGGUGCGAAAUCCCAAUCAAACGGAUGAUGUAAGAUCAAAAAUAAAAGAGAAGGAGAAG
This 12579-nucleotide long non-coding RNA is filed under the name Lactuca sativa (garden lettuce). Its description in RNAcentral is "long non-coding RNA (LSAT_LNC007154)". Lineage: Eukaryota; Viridiplantae; Streptophyta; Magnoliopsida; Asterales; Asteraceae. The record is from RNAcentral.